GUACACUCCUGCGGGAGGCAGCAGUGGGGAAUAUUGCACAAUGGGCGCAAGCCUGAUGCAGCCAUGCCGCGUGUAUGAAGAAGGCCUUCGGGUUGUAAAGUACUUUCAGCGGGGAGGAAGGCGAUAAGGUUAAUAACCUUGUCGAUUGACGUUACCCGCAGAAGAAGCACCGGCUAACUCCGUGCCAGCAGCCGCGGUAAUACGGAGGGUGCAAGCGUUAAUCGGAAUUACUGGGCGUAAAGCGCACGCAGGCGGUCUGUCAAGUCGGAUGUGAAAUCCCCGGGCUCAACCUGGGAACUGCAUUCGAAACUGGCAGGCUAGAGUCUUGUAGAGGGGGGUAGAAUUCCAGGUGUAGCGGUGAAAUGCGUAGAGAUCUGGAGGAAUACCGGUGGCGAAGGCGGCCCCCUGGACAAAGACUGACACUCAGGUGCGAAAGCGUGGGGAGCAAACAGGAUUAGAAACCCCAGUAGUCCCAUG
RNAcentral lists this ribosomal RNA (477 nucleotides) under uncultured organism. RNAcentral describes it as "partial 16S ribosomal RNA". It matches the Rfam family "Bacterial small subunit ribosomal RNA", at positions 331 to 799 of the family's 1533-position model. The record is from RNAcentral.